Molecule: long non-coding RNA, 287 nt
Filed under: Manihot esculenta (cassava)
Lineage: Eukaryota; Viridiplantae; Streptophyta; Magnoliopsida; Malpighiales; Euphorbiaceae
Description: long non-coding RNA (MESC_LNC001455)
Source: RNAcentral
AAUCACAGGUCUUUGUUUGGGAAAAAAAAAAAGGGUUUGAAAACUGAAAUUUACAGAUCGUGAUAGAAGAAUCGUGACCCACGGUCGGCAAUACCAGAAGAGGGCCUGGUUGUCGCGUGCCGACGAUAUGCCCUGCCGCCCCGCGCUCUCGCCGUGCGUUGGUCGACGAUGAAACCUCAACAAGCGCUAUCAGUGGUCGGAGGCGGGCGGCCGUUCGUUCGUCAAGUCACGGAAUCAGAAGGUUGGUAUUCGCGAUUCCAUCGAUGAUAUGAUAUCCAAGCUUGCCG